Molecule: long non-coding RNA, 2810 nt
Organism: Malaya genurostris
Lineage: Eukaryota; Metazoa; Arthropoda; Insecta; Diptera; Culicidae
Exons: 5
Source: RefSeq, a predicted model, not a curated record
AGUGUGGCGAACACUUGCAGAUGUCGCCGCGAUCGCCAAUAUGUGUUCCAGGGGUCAGAUUUCAAUCACGCCAAUUUGUUUGUCAUUAUGUGUUCCAGGGGUCAGAUUUCAAUCAAGCCAAUUUGUUUUUAUGUAGCUUAAUAUCACAUGUCAAAUCGUCGUGAUUGUUCUGCUAUUGAAUUUAACGUUAUUAGAUUUUGUUGUUUUCUGUGACAUGGUAAUCAAAAGACAUGGGAAGGAAAUGUGAAUUUUAUACUUGUGGAAAUCGCGAGAGCAGCUGUAGCCGCAGUGACGAUAUUUCGUUUUUAAAAUUUCCGAAAACAAUAAACUGUGUUCUUUGUGGGUAAAGGCAUGUUGCUCUCCCGAAGCAACUCAUGUUUUUGAAACGAACGGAGCCGAAGCUUUUCGAAUGGGAAAAAUCUGCUCUAACCAUUUUGCACCAACUGCAUUCAAAAAUAUUGAUAGGAAAAAUAAAGGAUUGACGCUUGGUGCGGUACCGUUAACCUGUGAGGGAUUUGUAAACAGAAGUAAAGAUAUUACACCAAAGAUGAUUUUCGAAAACAAGGAUCGAAACCCUGAAAUAAAAUUGUGGGAUCAGAAGUACAUUGAAAAUGAAAAACUAAAUAAUGACCAGAUUCUCGCAGACUCUUUCUUGUCAAUAGUGUGCCAUAGCGAUAAUUAUUAUACAUUAUUAAAAAAUGAAGAUAUAAAUCUCAAAGCUUAAAAGUCAAUACAGUUUUUGUCAACUGAUUGUUUUCAUGACAUUGACAUUGUCAAAGAAGAAAUUCUGGAUGAUGAACAAAUUGCCACAGAGUUACCUUCGUUACAGAAAACCACCAUUAACAACGAGCUUUCGGAAGUAUUAACCAGUAAAACAGACGGUCUUGAGGCUUCUUGUCAUUCUAUAUAUGACCAAGUUCAACAAGUUGCCAAUGAUAACACUAUGAAAAAUAUAUCGAUGUAUGAAAACCAUAAAAACACGUUCAACGAUGACAGCGAAUCGUGGAAUAAAACUAAAAGAUGGAAACAUGGUAUACAAAAUGAAAAGAAAACUAUUAAAAUCCUUAAGGUUAAGCUUAAGUCCGUUCGUCGUCGGCUUUUUGUAUCUAUUCAAACCAGCAAUCGUCGAUUAAAAAUGAUCAAUCGAAGCAAACGUAUUUCAAUUAAGCUAUUAAGUAAGAUAAAAAAAUCAUAAGACAAAAAUCUGAUAGAAAAAUGCUCGGGGAAUUGGCUGAGGUUAAUCCCAUAGUAAAAGAUUCAUUGCUUAAUGCAGUGCGACGCCCAGCGGCUCGUCGUUAUCAUCCAGCUACGAUGAAAUUCGCAGCUGGAGUGAAUCUAAAUGGACCUCGUACUUACCGGUAUACAAGAAACUCAAAGCAAAUAAUGUUACCACACAAAAACAGUGUAUACAAUUUUAAUCGAAACAUUCGUUUAAAGCCAGGGUUGGACAGAGCAAUCUUGAAUCGAAUGAAAACUAAAAUUAAGUGGCUGCGAACUAAACAGAACAAAUUAGUAAUGAUCUGCCUAGAUGGAAUGUCUGUUAAAUCAGAACUGACUUAUUGUGCUAAGUCCGACACGUUCUAUGGAUUUUCGGAUUACGGCAUUGUAAAGAAGGUCGAAAGGAAUGAUCCUACAAAACUGGCAACUCAAGCAGUUGUAAUAAUGGUCUCUGGGAUAUACAGUAGAUUCAAGCAGCCUGUUGGAUAUUUUCUUGCUCACAAUACCCUUGGAAGUGAAAUUCAAAUGAAGCUCACAAGAAAAAGUAUUAUUGCUAUUCGUGAUACCGGACUCAUACCGAUAGCUCUGGUGAUGGACCAGUCUACAACAAAUCAAAAAAUGAUUCGUGAAGCUGGCGGAACUGCUGAACACCCAAUAAUACAAGUUGACAACGAAAAUAUAGCCGUUAUGUUUGAUCCACCCCAUUUGUUGAAAAAUGCACGAAAUGCACUUUAUAAGUACAACCACAGAUAACAGAUAUACAGGCUCGAACAAAUUCCUGUGUAAAUUUUAAAUUUGCUGUACGUUGGGCUCACUACUGCCACCUACUCGACUGUUCGCCUCGGUCACAGCCUCAAUAUUUCAGAACGUUCCUCUUCGUUCCGGAACGAUAACAGAGGUUAUUUUUCUAUAGCACAAAUUUUCUUUCCACAGUAGUUGGAAAAUCGAAUCGAAUAUCCAACAUUUAGUAACAUGUUUGUGGAGUAGAUGCUUAGGAGGCUGAUAAAGCUGGUUGGAUUGAUUGUUACAAAGCAAACAAUAUGCACUGAAUCGCAAAUUCACUGCAGUUGACAGAACUCGAAAGCAUUCCGGCUCUUUGUUCCUCGAAUGGAAACUACAUUGCAUAAAAAUCAAUAAACCGAAACUGUUUUUUACCAAUGGCGAUCCGAUGCCUACCGUUUUCAAACCGACUAUGGCAGUGUACGUCAAUCUUAUUUUGAAUGAUAAUAUUCCAUGGCGAAGGAUUUCAUCACAAUUCACAUCCAGUUCCCGUUAUCUAAUUCAUCAGAAGAAUCACUUCCAUCAAACACGCAAGCCAUUACGAAUGCAAAUAACUGUACAUUGGAGAAUAGUGUAACAUUCAUAUGACAAGAAAAAUUAUCAAGAUGAGCUAUAUUAGCAACACUAUUACCAAUUACUUGUUUCUCCCGAUAUCAUUAAACGCAAGUAAUGUUGUAUGAAAAACUCGAACUCAAUCGAAAUACAGAUUACAAAUUUAAUUCGAUUUAAAUAUUCCGAUUCGAUCGGAAUACAGAAUCGGAUUGUAUAUAAAGAUCUGAAUGUCACAAUAAGAACCUGUGUUGAAUGGCGGA